CGUCGUUGUCGUCCCUCAAACCCUCCGCCGUCUCGCUCUCGGAUUUCCGUCGGUCGGCUGUUCGACCUCCCCCGCUCCCGAAUCCCCCGGCGCCCCCUCGAUCCUUUCCUGGUGGCCUCCGAUCUCGAAGUUCUCGCAUCGACUUCAAGAAGAGCCUCGGCCGCAUCCCUACAGCGACGCCGUUUCCUGUCCUCGUUGCAGUUCUCGCUGCCGUCUUCAAGAAGGGCCUCGGCCGCAUUCCUGUAGCUCCGACAAAUCUUGCGGCGCAUCUUCUUCACGCCUCCCUGAAGUCUUGCGAGAACGAUUCUUUCUUUCGUUCGGGAAGAGUUGUUGUUUUCUGUAUCAAUUUGUUACCCUUCUGAUGAUGUAUUCUCGAUCUGGAACUGAGAAAACAAUGUUUGUGUAUUACAAAUUUAAGAGUGCUAAGGAUUUUUGUUCUCUUCCUGUUGAUGGUCCUUCCAUCUCUGUUGCCAAUUUGAAAAUGAGAAUCUUCCAUUCCAAGCGUUAUGGAAAGGGUAGGGAUUUCGAUCUCACUGUCAUGAAUGCGCAGACGAACGAAGGUUGGCCUUUUCUACAACACUCACUAUCUCGGAAGAUUAAGCGUUGCAAUUAUUGAUGAUCUGUGGACAGGACUAAUUUCUUGCUCAAUUCCUUUAUGGUUGUGUGAUUUGCUCUGGUUAAUCCGUGUUUAGGGUAACUCAAUUUUGUCGUCCGCAACUACUUUGCUGGAAGUUUUACUGUUGCAGCUACUUGUUGUCUAUGCUUGCUGUCUGUUUUAUUUUUUCCAGAGUAAUGUAUGAUUUGCUACAUUUAAUUCUUGGCAAGGAAAUCUAAUUAUCUUUUUGAUAUGGCUUAUUUAUUUCAGAAUAUGUUGAUGAUGCAGUCAUGAUACCAAAAGACACAUCAGUCUUGAUUCGCCGAAUUCCAUGGCCAAAGGGCAAGAGUAUUGUUGUCGGAGAG
Molecule: long non-coding RNA, 960 nt
Filed under: Musa acuminata (dwarf banana)
Lineage: Eukaryota; Viridiplantae; Streptophyta; Magnoliopsida; Zingiberales; Musaceae
Description: long non-coding RNA (MACU_LNC010753)
Source: RNAcentral